Long non-coding RNA from Rhopalosiphum padi (bird cherry-oat aphid), 2686 nucleotides. RefSeq lists it as uncharacterized. The transcript has 3 exons. The record is from RefSeq and is a predicted model, not a curated record. Lineage: Eukaryota; Metazoa; Arthropoda; Insecta; Hemiptera; Aphididae.
CUAUUGUGUAGCGAUGGAAGUUGUAAAAAUAUAAAACAACAAAAACAUAUACACGUCGAACAGAUUCUUUUAAAGUGGCGACAACUAAUACUUAAUAAUAAUAAUUAAGUACAACAUGGUAAUAAAUUGUAUCACAAAAUAAACAAUAAUCAAUUAUUUUUUUAUAUUAAGUCGUUUGUUUGUUUAGCUGGUUAGUAACUACCAUUCGGAUGAGAACACAUAAGACAAAACGUCACCACUUAACUUCUGCGGUGGUGUAGCUCUCUUUGCCUUUGCCGCCAUAUUUGAACAGCACUAUCCGUGCGCGGUCGGUCGCUGAGCAUUACGUCAGCGACGAUCGCAGUGCCGCCUCACCGGAAGGAUCAAAUUGUCACACUACUCGUCGGUAGUCGGUUUUCUCGCUGACGACGUUCCGUGCUUCGGAGAAACGAUUUCGACCCACAACACAUACUAUUACAAUAAUCCCCACCAACGUCAUAACUGGCGGACGAAAACGCGGUCGGUUCGUCAUCGCCGUCCACCGGUAACCAGUGCGGGCAACUGCAUGCGCCGAUUUCGACUACACUGUAAAAAGUGGUGAUACGAACAUUUUUUUUAACCUUUCAUUAUUUACGUGAACUUUUUCGCUUUACGUAUAUUUUUUCCUGAAAAAAAAAUGGUGUAUCUCGUUAGGCGUUAGUGAAUCGUGUUUUGAUUGUUAUUAUUAUUUUUUUUUGUUUUCGUUUGCUUGUUCUCUAAGUAUCAUAGUCGCACCUUGUCUGCCGACGAUUCUACCGACGUCCGGUGAAUCGCGUACGUUUCAAUUUGGUUUUUCCGAAACGGAUAAAACGAUACGCCCGUCCAUUGUUUGUGCAACCGCUCCGAGACGAGUCGUCCGUUUCAUCAACAAACGCUUAACAGUCUGAUGGAUAAUAUUUGUUUUUUCACUGAACAACGCCUGAAGAAUUAAGAAAUGCCACACAAGUGAUUGGCUUUUAUCAAUGUUGUAUUCCAUUAGGUACCUACGUUCAGUUUGUUUAGUAGAGUAUAGUAUGUUUUAUCCAUUUUGUGUUUAUUAUCAAUUGUAUUGAAGAAAUAAAAUGUUACUUUUUUCAUUAAAUAAACACAUUGUUUAGCUUACAGACUACCAUGUUUGAAAAACCAUUUGUUUUCUGAAAAUGUAUGAUUAUUGGUCAUUGAAGAACAAUAUUGCAAUAUUAUUCUGAACAUCUAUUUCAAUCGGAUUAAUACGAAUUGGAUAUUACAUACUAUAUUAGUCAGUGCAAUUAAUAAUAAUGUUUAAAACAAAUUAUACCAUAUUGAAGGGAAACAAAUGUUUCAGAGUAAAUGCCUUACUAUUCAGUCAAACUUCUGUGUGCACUAAGACAGAGUACUAUAUGGCUACUUAUUAUAGGCUACUUCCUACUGGUGGAGGCAUUUAUUAAAGGUAAUUGAUAUAUUAUUCUUUUUAUUUUAUUAGUAUUCUGAGUUAUAUUUCAUUAAUUAAACAUUUGAAAAAAUUUGAACUGUAUAUUUAUUUUUGUAUAGAAAGUUAUUUUCUAUAAUCAAUUAAGUAUACAUUUACUCUUUACAUUCUGCUACAACUUUAAAAUUAGACUCUGUCAGUGUUUUAAACAUUUAAUUGGCCUGUAGUAGGUAUACCUAAUAUUAAUUAUGUGUAUACAUGGUUAGUGGUUACCUAUGAAUUUAACCAAAAUUAUUCAAAAAUGUGUAUUUAUUUAAAUAUUGAUGGACAAUAUAUGUUUUUAAAUGGAAUACAUGUUUACUCUUAAAAAUUUUAAAUAUUGAAAGAAUUCUUUAUUUAUUUAAAACAAAAUAUUGUAUAUGAAUAAAAUCUGAUUACUUCUCUGACUGUGAAAAGUAAUUAUUCUGUGUUCCUCAAUUUAACAGAUUAUACCUAAACUGGAAGAAGAAAGUUAAUAAUCAAAUUCACAAUUGAAAGGUAUAUUAAUUUUACUGGUAAAUUCAAAAUUAUCUCUAUUUUAAUGUAAUAAUGUUAUGGUAAGAUCUUUAUGUUUAGAGGUAUAAGGCUAUGCUAUUAUGAUAUUUAUAAAUUAUUUUAAAUGGCAUUCUAUUUUUUUUUUUGUGUGUGUAUGUGUGUAGUGUGUGUAUUCAAAAUGUGGUCUUGACUGAAAUUUCAACUUAUAAUUAUUUAUAUUUAUUUUUAUUUUGGUAUUUAUGUAAUUAGUUAUAUUAUUCUUGUAUAAAAUAUCCAAUUAAAAAAUAAUAUACCUAUUUAUUUUAUAAUAAUUAUAAUUAGUUAAAUAAUAUAACAUAUUAUAUUAUUCCUUUAUGUAUGUGUCAGUUGUUUCUAAAAUACUUAAAAUAUUAAUGCAAAUCAAGCAAUAAAUAAUUGACACUGGUAUGUUUUUUUUUUAGCUGAAUGUUUUAAAAAUGUAAAUAUUUGUUCUGAAUAAUUAAUUUAAGAAUUAAAACGGGUUAUUAAGUAACAAUUGUUUUUCUUUUUUUAUAUACAAUCUUUUAUUAUUAAAUUGAUUAAAAUAUACUCUGACAUUAAAGUGCAGAGUUAUGUAAAUGUUUGUUAAAACUCCUGAAAAUUAUUAAUUUAUUAGUACUACAUUAUUAUACCAUAUACUGGAUAAAAAAAUGUUCAAAUAGCCAUCAUGGUUUUAAGUUGUAACUUUUAAACUGUAACCAAUAAAUAAGUAAAAAUAAUUUUAUAUUA